Molecule: ribosomal RNA, 403 nt
Filed under: bacterium
Lineage: Bacteria
Description: partial 16S ribosomal RNA
Rfam family: Bacterial small subunit ribosomal RNA
Source: RNAcentral
UGGGGAAUAUUGCACAAUGGGGGAAACCCUGAUGCAGCGACGCCGCGUGAACGAAGAAGGUAUUCGUAUCGUAAAGUUCUGUCCUAUGGGAAGAUAAUGACAGUACCAUAGAAGAAAGCUCCGGCUAAAUACGUGCCAGCAGCCGCGGUAAUACGUAUGGAGCGAGCGUUGUCCGGAAUUAUUGGGCGUAAAGGGUACGCAGGCGGUUUAAUAAGUCGAAUGUUAAAGAUCGGGGGUCAACCCCGCAAAGCAUUGGAAACUGAUAAACUUGAGUAGUGGAGAGGAAAGUGGAAUUCCUAGUGUAGGGGUGAAAUACGUAGAUAGUAGGAAGGAUAACAGUAGCGAAGGAGGCUUUCUGGACACAAACUGACGGUGGGGUACGAAAGCGUGGGGAGCAAACAGG